Molecule: ribosomal RNA, 165 nt
Filed under: uncultured bacterium
Lineage: Bacteria
Description: partial 16S ribosomal RNA
Rfam family: Bacterial small subunit ribosomal RNA
Source: RNAcentral
UGGGUAACCUGCCCUUCACUUCGGGAUAACUCCGGGAAACCGGGGCUAAUACUGGAUAUGACUCGAACAGGCAUCUGUUUCGGGUGGAAAGAUUUAUUGGUGGAGGAUGGACUCGCGGCCUAUCCGCUAGUUGGUGUGGGUAAUGGCCCACCAAGCGACGACGGU